UACGUAGGGUGCAAGCGUUGUCCGGAAUUAUUGGGCGUAAAGAGCGUGUAGGCGGCCCGACAAGUCCGCUGUGAAAGUCUAGGGCUCAACCCUGGAAAGCCGGUGGAUACUGUCGGGCUAGAGUCCGGAAGGGGCGAGUGGAAUUCCUGGUGUAGCGGUGAAAUGCGCAGAUAUCAGGAGGAACACCAAUGGCGAAGGCAGCUCGCUGGGACGUGACUGACGCUGAGACGCGAAAGCGUGGGGAGCAAACAGG
This 253-nucleotide ribosomal RNA is filed under the name uncultured bacterium. Its description in RNAcentral is "partial 16S ribosomal RNA". It matches the Rfam family "Bacterial small subunit ribosomal RNA", at positions 524 to 776 of the family's 1533-position model. The record is from RNAcentral.